RNAcentral lists this ribosomal RNA (172 nucleotides) under uncultured bacterium. Its description in RNAcentral is "partial 16S ribosomal RNA". It matches the Rfam family "Bacterial small subunit ribosomal RNA", at positions 359 to 527 of the family's 1533-position model. The record is from RNAcentral.
UAAAUAUCAUGGGCGCAGCCUGAUGCAGCCAUGCCGCGUGUAUGAAGAAGGCCUUCGGGUUGUAAAGUACUUUCAGCGGGGAGGAAGGGAGUAAAGUUAAUACCUUUGCUCAUUGACGUUACCCGCAGAAGAAGCACCGGCUAACUCCGUGCCAGCAGCCGCGGUAAUAGCU